GGUCAGUGAUGAAUAGUAAAAGGUGUGAUUUGCCCAGAAUAUUGCUUCCCUUACCAUCUAACUCCCAGCAGUUACUCUUCCAUCAAGCUAUAGAAAUGCUAUGCGUGGGAGAAUAUUUGCUGAUAUAUUGUGAUAUAUUCAGCUUGUUUCCUUGUAGAGUAUUGAGUAGACUUGGCUGAAGUUGUUAUCCAACAUAAAACAAUAAAGGAGUUUUAAGUACUGGAGGCAAGUAGAUGGGUAUAUGAUCUCAGCUUUUUAAACUGAGACC
Non-coding RNA from Laticauda laticaudata (blue-ringed sea krait), 268 nucleotides. The record is from Ensembl. Lineage: Eukaryota; Metazoa; Chordata; Lepidosauria; Squamata; Elapidae.